GGGCGGUUAGCUCAGUUGGGAGAGCGCUUGCUCGACAAGCAAGAGGUCACUGGUUCGAGCCCAGUACCGCCCACCA
Molecule: transfer RNA, 76 nt
Filed under: Euzebyaceae bacterium
Lineage: Bacteria; Bacillati; Actinomycetota; Nitriliruptoria; Euzebyales; Euzebyaceae
Also listed under: 3 other names
Description: tRNA-Val
Rfam family: tRNA
About the family: Transfer RNA (tRNA) molecules are approximately 80 nucleotides in length.
Source: RNAcentral